UACAGAGACUGCAAGCGUUAUUCGGAUCCACUGGGCGUAAAGGGUGCGCAGGCGGCCAAGUGUGUCAGGUGUGAAAUCCCGAGGCUUAACCUCGGAACUGCGCCUGAAACUACUUGGCUAGAGUACUGGAGAGGGUAACGGAAUUCACGGUGUAGCAGUGAAAUGCGUAGAUAUCGUGAGGAACACCAGAGGCGAAGGCGGUUACCUGGACAGUUACUGACGCUCAGGCACGAAAGCGUGGGGAGCAAAAGGG
RNAcentral lists this ribosomal RNA (253 nucleotides) under uncultured bacterium. RNAcentral's name for it is "partial 16S ribosomal RNA". It matches the Rfam family "Bacterial small subunit ribosomal RNA", at positions 524 to 776 of the family's 1533-position model. The record is from RNAcentral.